RNAcentral lists this ribosomal RNA (253 nucleotides) under uncultured bacterium. Its description in RNAcentral is "partial 16S ribosomal RNA". It matches the Rfam family "Bacterial small subunit ribosomal RNA", at positions 524 to 776 of the family's 1533-position model. The record is from RNAcentral.
UACGUAGGGUGCGAGCGUUGUCCGGAAUUACUGGGCGUAAAGAGCUCGUAGGUGGUUUGUCGCGUUGUUCGUGAAAACUCACAGCUUAACUGUGGGCGUGCGGGCGAUACGGGCAGACUGGAGUACUGCAGGGGAGACUGGAAUUCCUGGUGUAGCGGUGGAAUGCGCAGAUAUCAGGAGGAACACCGGUGGCGAAGGCGGGUCUCUGGGCAGUAACUGGCGCUGAGGAGCGAAGGCGUGGGGAGCGAACAGG